Mobula hypostoma (lesser devil ray) is the source of this 2309-nucleotide long non-coding RNA. RefSeq lists it as uncharacterized. The record is from RefSeq and is a predicted model, not a curated record. The transcript is spliced from 3 exons. NCBI's taxonomy places the organism in Eukaryota, Metazoa, Chordata, Chondrichthyes, Myliobatiformes, Myliobatidae.
ACUCCUCGAGCUUGCAAAUGACGGCGGGCUGAGAAGUAUGUUUGACAUAACAUCUCUGCUGGCAUUACGGAUCAAAGUCAAGGCUAAAUAUCCUGAGAUAGCCACGAAAGCACUGAAAACGUUGCUUCCAUUUCCAACAUAUCUCUGCAAUGAAUGCGACGAAAACUAAAUUGCGGAAUAGACUCGACAUAAGGAACCUCCGAGUAUCGCGUCUCCCUUCACCCCUCGAUAGGACCGUCUUGUUGCAGGGAAACAAGCCCAGGUCUCCCACUGAUUCAGCGAUACUGCUGUGCUUUACUGUUUGGGGAUCGUUUGGGUGCUUCAGCAAUCUGCAACCUCCUACAGCAUUCCAGGAGGCAGAGGCAACGUGAGCGAACCUCAUGGCAAGAAAGCUGCAGGAUGGCACACAAGCUGAUGUUUGACCCCAUUUCGCCAAUUAAAGUGAUGGGGGUGACUGAAACAUUAAAUGUUGGGCCCCUAUCUAAGAAAGGAUGUGCUGGCAAUGGAGAGGAUCCAGAAGAGGCUCACGAGAAUGAUCCCUGGAAUGAAAGGCUUUGCUGUCUCCAAGAUGGCUCCACGAGGCUGUAUCCGAAGCAUGUGGCAUGGACGCCAGGAAGUCUGGGGUUGGCAUGCCAGCCCUUGAUUUCUCCAUUUCUCAUUGAUUAAAGUGCCAAGGAAGAUUAAAUUCAUCGAGGCAAGUGUCGAGAACGAAAGUGUUCAGUACUGUCUACCAGCCUCUCGCUCACUCAUUGCUGGAGAAGGUGUCUGUGUGUGGCGGUUUCUUACUCUCUCUCACUGCUCCCGAGUGAUCUCUCUCUCUCUCCCUUGAUGCUGUCAGCAGAUGGAACCAGAGCAAGAUUUAAUUGAUGGGGAUUGUAGAUUUGGACUCUAAUUCAAGUUUAUGAUGUGUUCUAUUUCUGGUUCUGGUUGCGCUUUUCUCAUUGCUAUUCUUGGGCUUUUUUUUUUGAAUCUGGGCAGCCUGCAGAUAAUGAACACUGAGCUGGACUGUACUGAAAUAUGCCUUUUAUGUUUUAGGGUCUAUGCUUUCAAUUGUUUUUAUUUUGUUGCUGAAAAUCUAAAGCCAUUCAAGUGUGUGGGGGGGGAGGGGUUGAUAUUUUGAUGUUUUUCUUUGAAUGUGUUCGUCCAUGGUUUUUCUUUGUUUUGUGACUGCCUGGGAAGAAUUUCAGAGUUGCAUACUUCACACAUGCGUUGAUAAUAAAUGUACUUUGAAUAUAUAGGGAGCUUUUGAUGGCUCUGAGCCUAUACAUGCUACAGUUUAGAAAAAUGAGGGGGAAAUCUUGUUGAAACCUACUGAGCAUUGAAAGGCCUAGAUAGUGGAUGUUAAGAGGUAUUUCCUACUGUAGGAGAAUCUAGGACUGGAGGACACAAACUCAGAAUAAAAGUACAUCUAUUUAGAACAGAUGAGAAAUUUCUCCAGAGUGGUGAAUCUGUGGAAUUGCCACAGACAGCUGCGGAGGCAGAGUCAUUAUGUAUACUUAAAGUGGAAGUUGAUAGGUUCUUGAUUAGUAAGGGUGUAAAAGAUACAGGGAGUAAGCAGGAGAAUGGGAUUGAGAAUAAUAUAUCAGCCAUGAUGCAAUGGCAAAGCAGACUUGAUGCGCUGAAUAGUCCAAUGACUUAUGGCUUUAUAGAUUAUUCUGGAGUUAUGGCAUUAUGGAUAGUAUAAUUUUGAAUCAACUGAGAACCAGUCUUCAGGAAAGGAAAACUGUACAGAAUUUAACUUCCAACAGAUACGCUGUGGCUGGUGAAACCAUUUGUUGGUUGUACAAUGGGAUAUUCUAAUUCUGUUCCAUUCAAACUACACAGGGAAAAUCAAUUUGCACAUUGUUAAUGGUGUACCCCUGCAACUUAAAGAAUAGUGUAGGAUAUCUGUUUUGUCACUUAACAUGAUUAGUUGUACAGUCAUCACACAACUCUAUAACCAAAAGGGCAUAUUUUGGGUGUCUGGAGUUUGUACUCGAAAGGCUUUGGAACAGACACCAGUAUUGAAGAUUCAAAGGGGUUUUGUUAUUUGGGGUGUGUUACCAUUAUAAAUAUGUAAUUCUGUACAUUUACCUGACUAUAUUCAAAAUGUUAAAGAAGUGAUUUUAGCAAAUGAAACUGUAGUUAAUUGUUUAUUGUUAUCUUUGCAUUGAAGAAGCAGAUACCUGUCAGGAGAAUGAGAUACUCUUGGCCUCUCUUGUGAAGGCUUGCUGUCUGAAUAAAGACCUGUGUUUCCCACUUACAGCUUCUGUGUGGCUCAGUUCUUAGUUGAUAGAACACUCUACUUCCAAGGCCUGGUUCUGGCAGAA